GACGAACGCUGGCGGCGUGCCUAAUACAUGCAAGUAGAACGCUGAAGAGAGGAGCUUGCUCUUCUUGGAUGAGUUGCGAACGGGUGAGUAACGCGUAGGUAACCUGCCUGGUAGCGGGGGAUAACUAUUGGAAACGAUAGCUAAUACCGCAUAAAAUUGAUUAUUGCAUGAUAAUUAAUUGAAAGAUGCAACUGCAUCACUACCAGAUGGACCUGCGUUGUAUUAGCUAGUUGGUGAGGUAACGGCUCACCAAGGCGACGAUACAUAGCCGACCUGGGAGGGGGAUCGGCCAACCUGGGACUGAGACACGGCCCAGACUCCUACGGGAGGCAGCAGUAGGGAAUCUUCGGCAAUGGGGGGAACCCUGACCGAGCAACGCCGCGUGAGUGAAGAAGGUUUUCGGAUCGUAAAGCUCUGUUGUAAGAGAAGAACGGGUGUGAGAGUGGAAAGUUCACACUGUGACGGUAUCUUACCAGAAAGGGACGGCUAACUACGUG
Molecule: ribosomal RNA, 497 nt
Filed under: uncultured bacterium
Lineage: Bacteria
Description: partial 16S ribosomal RNA
Rfam family: Bacterial small subunit ribosomal RNA
Source: RNAcentral